This 13848-nucleotide long non-coding RNA is filed under the name Salvia miltiorrhiza (redroot sage). RNAcentral's name for it is "long non-coding RNA (SMIL_LNC005875)". Lineage: Eukaryota; Viridiplantae; Streptophyta; Magnoliopsida; Lamiales; Lamiaceae. The record is from RNAcentral.
CGCCUCCCGAAUUGAGAAGCUCCAGGAGGGGCUCUGCCUCCUCGAGGAGACCGAAAUCCUCCAUGGCUUCUCCAACCAUAUCCAGAUAGCAGCAUCCAUGGCUUCUCCGGCCAUUUCCAGACCGCCAUCGCCGCCACUCCUAUGUCCUCCGUCCUCUCCGGCUCCGCUGCCUUCCCAAUCGAGAAGCUCCAGGAGGGGCUCCGCCUCCUCGAGGAGGCCGAAAUCCUCUGGUAAAUAGCCAACGAUGUCUUCGUAGUUGAGAUCCAUUCUAACGAUGGUGCUAAUUGACGAAUUGUAGUGAUAAUUGGUCCUAUUUCUGCCAACACCCGCGUAAUGUUGCAGAAUCUCUAGGCGAAAAUUGGGGAGAGCAAAUGGAGAAAUUAAGAUUCUAGCUUUGAAAUAUGGGUGGUCGUGGUGGUGGUUCUUUGAGGAAAGGUGGGUGGGGGAGAGAGGGAAGGGUACUGAUUUAUGCCUAAUUGUUCUAAUUUUGGGGGUUUACAUGCGCAUAUUUUAAGUUAAUUCUUCUGGAAAUUGGUGCGUUUUAUGGUUUGUUUUAUGCUUUUCAGGAGAUUUAGGUCUUAUAGAUGGAAGAGUGCGAUUUUGGAGAUGUUGGGGGGUAAGAAUGGUGUUUUUAGGCACACGUUGUUAUGCAGAGCUGAACUUCUCUAUGAAGGCCCGUGCCAGAGUAGAGAAGCCCGCUUCAAAGCAGAGGAGUGCACUCCAGAAGUCGCCAGCGAAAUCCGCUGAAGCCAGAGAAAUGAGAAAGCCAGAGCGGAGAGCCAGAGCAGCGAAAUGAGAAAAACGCCAGAGGAAUCGAGGCGAGCGCGGAAAUGUCAGAGGAAUCGAGGCGAGCGCGGAAAUGCCAGAGAAAUCACUUCGCUGCUGGAAUCGUAAGUGCAGAGGAAUCAAACGCCAGAGAAAUCACCAUUUCUCUGGAGUCAGAGAAAUCAUCAUUCCUCUGGCGAAAGCCAGAACGGAAGCCAUUCCGCUGGCGAGAGCCGCGAUUUCCGCUGGGGUGGAGAUGACUUGUAGAGCGCAUCACAGCUGGACUUGCCUUCUUUUGCACGAUUCUAUUCCUUUUAGAGUCCGGUUUUGCAUGGCAACUUUCAUGGUGAUCCAUAGGGAUUCGAAGUCUAUAAAUAGGGCCAUACUUUUCAUUGUAACAAUAAUCCUUGCCCUAAUCUUUAGUUCCACCAAGUUAGCUAAAGCUUAGGAUUUAUUGCUUUCAUAGUUCUAGUUUCGAUUUCUGUUCUAGUUAGUUUAGUAUAGUUCUUUAAAUUCAAGUUUAGUUAGUUUAGCUUAGUUUUGUUUCGAAGAUUGGAAUUGAGUGACAGCAGUUUCAUCUUUGCGACGUUUUACGGUAUUUCGGUAUUUAAUUGAAUUUACUUGCUUUCAUGUUUAUGCUUUCCUUUAGAUUUUGCUUUUACUUAUGCUUUCUUUAAAUUCUGCAAAUUUACUUAUGCAUUUUAUGAUGCUUUCUUUAAAUUAUGCAAUUUAGUUUCUGCCUAGUUAGAUUAGAUUAGAAGUAUUUUUAAUUAAAGUUUAUUUAAAAUUCUAAAUUUUGCCUUAGUUAAUUCCCCUUUACUUUAAGUUCUAUUUAAUUCUUGCCUAGGGUUUAAUAGUUUCACGCCUAGAUAAUUUUACGAUUAAGUUUUUAGUUAUGUUUAAUUCAUAAGCGUUAGUUAAUAAUUCCUUUUUGCCUAGUUAAGUUUAAAUUCAUGUUAAUUUACUUUUCAUGUUUUAGUUUAAAAAUCUUAAAUUUACAGCUUUCUUGUGANACUCUGCCCGUGUCCUUGCAUGUGACCCUGGGGUUGCCUACUCGAAUACCCUUGUGCAGCAAAGACUUCUACCCCUCUUUCAUAAGUACGCUCGCCCACUCCUACUGGCACUCGUUGGCUCCAUGGCCAAUUUCGCCACAUAUGCCCAACCUCCUGCUGGUGGUGGCGUGAGCGGUGGAGCCUCCACCUGGUUCAUCCUGAGGUGCUGAACUUGCCUCAUCAAAUCCGCUACUUGCUUCUGAAGCUCAUUGUUUGGAGCUACUGCAUUAGCUUCAACCCUCCUUCCUCUUACCGACUUUUGUUGGGAACUCGCGGAAAGUGUGUUGAAGAUCUCCUUAAGUUCAUCAGCUGUCUUCCGGGCAAUGUUGCCUCCUGCCGUGCUAUCCACCAUAAAUUGAGAAGUCUGCAGCAACCCGUCAUAAAAGAGUUGCAUCAACAUCACUGGGGUUAACUGAUGAUGCGGGCACUGGCGGAGGAGCUCCUGGAAUCUCUCCCAAGCCUCAUGAAGUGGCUCGUCGGCUCCUUGAACAAAGUUCAUGAUUUGAGUUCUAAUCUCUUGUGUCUUGUGAUUUGGGUAGAACUUCAACAUAAACUUCUCACAGGCCUCUCCCCAAGUAGUGAUAGAACUAGGCGGUAAGGAGAGAAGCCAAGUCCUUGCCCGAUCCUUAAGUGCAUACUGGAAACAUUUAAGCUUCAGCUGAUCUUCUGUGAUCUCCAACAGUGGAAAAAUUUGCACUUGGGUGCAGAAGUCCCGGAUAAACUGCAGGGCAUCUUCAUUCGGCAGCCCAUAAAAGAGGGGGAGCAGACUUGAAUCAUUGGGCUUCAGGUUGUAAUUCCUGACUGCAGUGGGGAGCACAAUAGCUGAGUUCGUGGCCUCGAUGACAGGCCGGGUAAAAUCCCCCAUGUACUGCAAAUUUCUUCCUGCCAUCUUCUCAACUCCAACGCUAGACAAAAUAGACUCGGUACUCUCUCCUAGGCUUCAAGCACCUCGCGUGCACGGUGAGUGUUUUCAAGUAGAAUGUCAAAUUCCUGUUAAGACUUUAACUCCCUAGCAACACAACACUCAACAAAACAGAUCAAACUCACCAGUGGGAGAAAGAAAAUAACCGAGCAAAAAUAAAAAUAAAAUAAACAUGGAAAACAAAGUAGCACAACCAAACUCCUAAAGCCUUCCCCGGCAACGGCGCCAAAAUUUGACUCAACCCAAAACACCUAAGGGAUUGACUCGCAAUCGUACGAGGUCGUCCUAGUGUAAUAAGCUAACCCAAGUCGUCUCUCAAGGAAGGCUAAACAGGGCUCUGAUCAUGCUACGCAUAGAAAACAGGAAAUAAACCUAAACACUCUAAUCAGAAGGUUGGGUCUGACACUCUCUCUCUCCGAUUAACUAAUAGCGUAAUUAAAAUAAAGCAUAUAAAUCUAUCUAGGCGAAAGAUAGGAAGCAGGCAAAGAAAGCAAUAAGACAACGUAAAGAACUAGGGUUCUAAUCUAACAAUCUAGAAAGCAAUGAUUAAAUCCAAAAUCAUAAAGCAAUAAUUAUCUAGGCAAGGGAAAUAAACAAGCAUGAAAAUCUAUGGCAAACACUAAUCAUGAUUUAUCGUAAGGAACAUGUAAACAAAAAGCAACAUAAUUUCAACGGAGUAUUACUCUAACAAAUCAACCAACAAUCUAACUAUACUAUCUAGGCAAUAAGAUUAACAAAGCAUAAAUCGAUGCUAAAUAUCAUUAUCAAAAGGUAUUCAAUUAUCUAGGAAAAGAGCAACCAAGAAAUCUUGUAAAAUUCGAUAAAUCAAUAGAUAGAACUUACAAUUGAUGAAAGGAAACAACGAUCUAGCAUAAUCCGAGAGUUUCUAAUGUGUUUCUCCCUAUCAAAACACUAGGAAAAUACAGUAAAAUGGAGUUGGAGGCUGUAUUGGUCGAGAGUGGGCUCCAAAAACCUAAAAAAUGGGUUUUAAACCCUCAAAAACGUAACUGCAGACCGCCCAGGGACGGAGGCCGCCGUGGGACGGCGGCCGCCGUAGACGGCGCCCGCCGUGCCACGGCGCCGCCGUGUAUACCUUUCGCAGACUGCAAUGCGCAGUGUUUUUGUUUUGGUCCGUUCUCCCUCGUUUCAAGUCGGAUUUUAGAUCCGUUUUCGCCUACGAACUCGUAUCGAGACGAACUUCGAUUCUUCUUCAGACCAUUCUACUAAAUUCUGACUUUAAUUUUGUUCACAUAUCAAUCAAUGUGAGCACAAAAUCCUGAGACAACAAAAUUAGCACAAAAGCUCAAAUCAUUCAACUCUUAAGUGAAAGAGACCAAAAUAAAAGUCAAUAUAACACGUAAACACCCAGAGAUUCAUCACAAAAUAGGGCUAAACACCUGUCCCUGCGUAGAGCAUAAAUUAUAAUCAAAGCAAUGGUGGAUGGAGAGGUCAGCACCAAGGGAAUUUUCAGCGUAAUCAAUUCUAGAGUGCACAGCAAAUUCCAACGCAAAAACAAUCUCUGGAGGAUACGUUGCAAGCGUUUAUGGAGGUUAGCAAGCAGAGCAUGGAGUCUCAGGCUGCCACUAUUAAACGCCUAGAGACCACCGUAGGGCAACUGGCGGGCGCGCUGGACUAGCUACAGCAGCAGCAGAGCCAAACUCAUCAAGCGCUAGCUCUGGCGAGGAUGCCAGAGCAGACUAGGCUGCCAGCUCUGGCUUGGCAGCCAGAGCAGAGAAGAGAGCCAGCUCUGGCUUGGCAGUCAGAGCAGAGGAAAAGGACGCCAGAGCAGAGGAGAAUGCCAAAGUUGAUUAGGCCAGAGCAGAAACUUCAUAAAUCCAAUACGCCAUAUCAACCACUGAAGCCUAGCCCACCUCUGCCACCAUCAAGUUUUGAUCCAACCCAACCUUUACCGAAGCAAGAAGAUCCAGGGAGUUUCAUUAUUGGUAUUGGUUUGGGUCGAGCUGGAGAAUUCGCGGGUAUGCUAGACUUGGGUGCGGCAGUCAAUUUGAUGCCGUAUGCUAUUUUUCAGAAAUUGGGCAGGAAUGAAGAGGAGAUUAAAAGCACGAAGACAAGACUUCAACUAGCUGAUGGGGCAAAUUGUAGCACUCGUGGUAUUUUAAAAGAUGUUGAAGUCAUGGUGAGAGGAAUCACGGUGCUAGCCGAUUUCGUGGUGCUCGAGGCAGGGCAUGGCAUUAUAGGAAAGAAUGGGCAACUUGUUCUACUUGGUCGGCCUUUUAUGGCUACUACUCAGACUCGCGUUGAUGUGGGUUCGGGAACGUUGAGCAUGGCCGGGUCUGGUAGAUCGGUAACAUUCUCUGUUUUUCAUAAGGAGCCUGUUAUUUCUAACUCUUCUAUGCAUAUCUGUUCUCUCGUUGAAAUCACUGACCAUGAGGAAGAAGUAGAAAUUUUUAGAGCUAACUGUCUUCUGCCAGCUCUGCCGAGUACUCCAGCGCUGCCCGUUCAGCCAGCUUUGACGAUUCCAGCUCUGACGCUGAAUGCCAGAGCAGAAAGUCUUCCUCCAGCUCUGAAGUUGGACGCCAGAAUAGAAAUUCCUACUCCAGCCAUGUCUAUUCCGCCAGCGUUGACUACUCCAGCCAUGCCUAUUCCGCCAGCGCUGACUAUUCCAGCUCUGCCGCUGGAGGACAGAGCAGAAAUUCUUCGAACAGCUCAGAACAGCAUGCGCCAGAAUUCUGCUAAGGAGAAGCUGAUGUGCACCCGCCCGGAAGAGGACAAAAUUAUACAAAAUUUUCUUGAUAAUUUGCAGGAUGAGGAGGCCAUUGAAGAUCAAUUUUUGGCCAAGCUUCCACUCGACGUUGAUGUCGUUCAUGAGGUACCAACUACCGUGAAAGAGGAUGCAACCGUUGAGGAAGAACGGGCUGAUGUGCUGCCGUGCAAGGAUAAUGUCGUGCUAAGAGAGCAGAGUGUACCACCUUUGGAAGAGAAGAAAGAGGAGUGAUCUCGACAUAAUUCUUGGUUCGAGAGAAUGAUGAAUAUGAUGAGCUCUGCUUGCUCACUAAGAGGACCCGCAGCUGAACUGGAGGAUGAUGUGCUUUCACAAGGACUAAGUCAGCUGACGUUUCAUAGCGAUUUUGGUUAAGGGAUCCUCUACGUCGGGCUGGCGACUCUAACUGUAGCGCUUGGUGGGAGGCAACCCACCGUUGGUUUGUUUAUGUUUUUUUUGUUUUAUUUUUCUUGUUCUUUUCUUGUUUUUCGUUUUUGUUGUGUCUUUCCUAAGUUUUGGUUGCUUGCGCGGAUACUUUGAUGUGGUGUUCAUGUUUUGACUUCAACGCUGCAGUUCUAACUCUGUCGACAGCGCAGCCGCGCCAGCGAGUCUCUGCACUUUUCCGCGCUGCACCUUUCCACCGCUGCACUUUUCCGUGCUGCACCUUUCCACCGCUGUACUUUUCCGCGCUGCACUUCUCCGCGCUGCUCUGCCAGCGCUAAUCUGAUUCAGCGUGGCCACUCUUCACUCUGCCACAGACCGCGAAUUCCCCUCUUCAUCACCUCGCACGAUGCUUCAGUUUUACCAUGCCGAUAAUCAGGGACGUUUUCUCAACUCUUCUUAUUUCUUUUUGUGCCCUGAGGACAUGGCAUGCUUUAAGUGUGGGGGGUGUUUUAUUGUGCUUAUGCUUUCAAUUGGGUGAGAUUAAUCUUUCUAUGCUUAGUUUUUAGUCUCGAAUCUUGCGAGUUUUUAUGAAUUUGUGGAAGAGUAGACGGUUUUCGAUGCGAAUUUCGGGUUUGUGAAUGAAUGGUGGUUAUUCUUGUUUUACUGUUGAUAUGUGUUUCUUGAUUGUGCAAAGAAUUUGAGUUUUGUUGCAACACGAUUGUAAGAAAGUGAAACGUGAUUUGUCCGGUAGAUGCUAGAAGGAGUGUUGUCAUUGUGAUUGCCUACGAUCGUAUCUUAUUUGUGAAAAUGUUGGACGAGUUGCCAACUUCAAAAUUGCCAGCUCUGAAACAUCUGGCCUGUUCUGAAAUGUGAUAGCUCUGAGUCUCUGCUCCUCUAGUCUAACUAUGAGCAUGGGAAACCACGUGAAAAGACUUUGGUGUACAUCCAAAUUUUUUUAUUUCAUGAAUUAUGGCUCAACUGUCGAAAAUCUUAAGCACACAAAGUGUGAAAAAUGGUGAUAUUGAUUAUAAAGGCGAUCACAUUAGGGAAUUCACUUCUAGCGGAGAAUUGGGUCUGAUCGAAUUGCCUACAUUACUAUUUUGUUGCUUCUUAAACUUUGAGUUACUUGCAUGAUCGAGAGAUGUGUAUUGAUUGUAAAAUUUUGAAUUGACUUUGAGAAUGUUGGAUGGAAAUUAGCAUUGUUGAAAUCAAUCUCUUCCUAGUAUUCAUAUGGAUUUUGCUUGAGGACAAGCAAAAGGCUAAGUGUGGGGAGGUUGAUUUAUGCCUAAUUGUUCUAACUUUGGGGGUUUACAUGCGCAUAUUUUAAGUUAAAUCUUCUGGAAAUUGGUGCGUUUUAUGGUUUGUUUUAUGCUUUUCAGGAGAUUUAGGUCUUGUAGAUGGAAGAGUGCGAUUUUGGAGAUGUUGGGGGUAAGAAUGGUGUUUUUAGGCACACUUUGUUAUGCAGAGCUGAACUUCUCUAUGAAGGCCCGUGCCAGAGUAGAGAAGCCCGCUUCAGAGCAGAGGAGUGCGCUACAGAAGUCGCCAGCGAAAUCCGCUGAAGCCAGAGAAAUGAGAAAGCCAGAGCAGCGAAAUGAGAAAAACGCCAGAGGAAUCGAGGCGAGCGCGGAAAUGCCAGAGAAAUCACUUCGCUGCUGGAAUCAUAAGUGCAGAGGAAUCAAACGCCAGAGAAAUCACCAUUUCUCUGGAGUCAGAGAAAUCAUCAUUCCUCUGGCGAAAGCCAGAACGGAAGCCAUUCCGCUGGCGAGAGCCUGUUCGCUAAUUUAUUUAACACGCCGCAAGUGUACGGGUGCAAUUGUGUACAGUAGCAAGCAAGGUCGUAUUCCACAGAGACUGAAUUUACCAAUUCCUAUCCUAAAUUAUUCUACUCUAUCUGGAUAACCGGAAUUUAGAGUUUUGGUUUUGAAAACAAAAUAAAUAAAUAACAGAAAAGAAAAUAAAUCAAGCUAUGAAAAUACGGAGAAAAAGAUAAGAGAAGAUUUCCCAAGGUAAAGGUUUCAACAGAUUCUCCUAACUAACAUGUUCAAUUCAAUUAAUAAGACGAUUCCUAAGGCAAUCUCUAAGCUAGUCCAUACCCACUCCCGUGGCAUACAAACCGUUGAUUACAUGCAAGGCUACCGUCCCCGGAUCGCACUUCUAACAUGCAACUCCUAAAAGCUCAUAGGAUUAACGCCCUCACAAAUAUCAAUUCCCUUUAGAAUUAAAAUAAAUGUGUUCUAUGUUCUUAGUUCAGGUAAUAAUUAUCAUCUCCCGAACUCAAAUUAAAACCUAGAUUAUGCUAAAUUGGUGGCCAAUCAAUAAAGCAAACAAUUAUAACAAGAACAUAAAAAGGAAUAACAAUCUCAAUUAAUUGAAUCAAACAGUCAGAAAUUCAAAUCAUGUCUAGUCUCUAAACCCUGGGAAAAAAAGGAUUCUAGCCACACAUAGACAUAUGAACUAGAAUACAAUUCUCAAUAAAAUAAAUAAACAUCCACAAGAAAAACCGUAGUAGAAUUGAGAAUCUUCAGUUCUUGCUCUCGCUCUGUUCUCCGUCUCUCUCAACUCUCAGGAAAAGUAAAAUAUGAUAAAAGAAGAUAAAAGGUUCGCAGAGAAUAAGUUCUUGGGGAGUAUUUAUAUGCCCUAGGUCUUGUAGCUCUCAAAAAUACCCAAAAUCACUAAAAAAAAUGAAUUUUGGGCGGAAAUACGGCGACUCGCGCGGCCACGUCGCGCGGCCGCAUGGCUGGCCCGCGUGACGAAACAGAACUCCUGACAGCUUUGCGCAGCGAUUUUAUUUUGGCUCGUUCUCCCUCGUCCGAACUCCGAUUUAUGAUCCGUUUGCUCUCACAAACUCCUAUCGAGACGAACUACAGCUUGGAUUUCAGCCGAUUCUUCCAAAUUCUGCUUCAUUAUUUCUGAAAAUUCGUUCAAACACAAGCAAGUAACAAGUUCUUGACCAUAAACGAAUAUAAGCUCAAAUAGACCAUCAAACACACAAAAUCCUCACAACUAAGCAUCAAAAAUGACACACCAAGAGGUAAAAAUGCAUGUUUAUCAACCCCCCAGACUUGAACUAUUGUCCGUCCUCGGACAAAACAAAGAUGAACCAAGAAUGAAUCAACAAGAGCGCAGAGAAAAGUAGAUAACAUUGUGGCUUCAGAUUUAUCAACAAAAAUACCAACAUGUAUUUGUAUCUCCUAUCAUCAAGAUAUCACACUCAUGACAAACUUCAAAUUAUGGUCUCAAUGACUUGCAAUCCUCACCAAAAAGAUAAAGAAUAUAAGAACUCUCAACUCUCAAGUGUAUCAAUUAACAUGGACGUGUAUACGCUCAGUUCAAGCAGAACAAGUACUCAACCAUAAGCUUGUCAAUCGUCUCACCUCUCCACCACUCAAUGUGUGCUCCUAUAACCAAGAUCAAAAAGGUCUUUAUUGAGGGUUGUAAUGUAGGUUCUUUGGCAAGGUAGGAUAUAUUUGGCUAAGUGACUAAAAGAUACAACUUAAUGUAGCAUAAUCACCAAUCUUAUAGCAUUCUUACUCAAUUCUAUCCUCCACCUUCCACAAAACCAAAUUUUUCAAUACAAAAUCCAUCACAACACAACAAUUAUUUCUCAUGAUAUUAUGACUUUCUAAUGCAUCCUAUGUACCCAUUUUUUUCUAAUUUUUUUUUCUUUUUUUUUCUUUUCUCCAUUCCUUUUCUUUUUUUUUUUUUUUCAAACAACUUGUAGGGUACUAGGAUUUUCAAUUUAAAACCACAAAACAUAACUCAUGAUCAUUCAUCUCCACAACCCAAUUAUCUCCUAUCAAAUAAUCUCCAAGCUCCCACCCAUAGCUAAAUCAAAGAAUAUGGAAAAAUAAGGCUCAAAGGGGGUGAACUAGGAUCAUAUAAAGAUAUAGGACAAAUAUGGGAUAAAUAGGCUAGCAAAGAUGGCCUUCUAUCAUCUCAAAGUUAUUAAGCACACUAUGUGACCUCGAGGGAGAAACCAAGACAAGUUCUAGUGAGAAACAUGCAUGCUCGAACAAUCACUCAAGAAUAAGAAAUAAGACUGUAAAAUGGUGACAGUCAAGGCUCAAAUCUCACAGCUUAUUUCAUUGAUUGCAAACACAUAGAGACCAUGCUUAUCAUUCAUCAAUCAUGCUCAAUCUCAACAAUAUCAACACAAACGCAUGCACUUUCACAAGUUUUAACCAAAAAUCAUCAUAAGCCAGUUAUCCAACCAAUCUCUACACUACUUGCAUCAUCAUCAAGCUAACAUCACAAAGAAACCACCAAAGCAAGACUAAGAAAACUCAACGACAAAACAAACAAGAACAACCAAAGCAAACAGUGCACCCACAAAGACACAUCCCCCCAAACUUAUUCACCACCAAGGAGAAUAAGUUUGAAAAGGAUUUGUGGGGCACGAAAACAAACAAACAAACAAACAAGAAAAGGAACAAACUAACCAAAAAUUGGGUUGCCUCCCAAUAAGCGCUAUUUUUAACGUCGUUAGCUCGACGAUCCAGCAGGUGUAGGUGGUGGCCACUUUUCAUCAAAUUUGAGUACAUCAUCUGUUGCGAACCAAUGAUAAGGUGGUUUUCCAACCUUCAAAAUUUCUUGAAAACUAUGGCCAUCCUGUGAACAAUCAAAAGUACUACCACACUCCAAAAAGUGUUCAUCAGAUGAAUCAAAAUUAAAAUCAAAAGAUGGAGUUAGAUAAAAGCUAAAGAGACAAGCCUUCAAUGAUUUCCCUUGGUCGAUGCAAGUGUCGACUACAUUUUGGACAUUGCGCUCUUCAACACUUUUAAAAUUUUCAUCCUUCAAGCUCAUCUCAACUUUCUGAACUUCUUGCUCUUCUUCCAUCGCUUGAGGCUCUUCAGUAUCACUUUCGAGCUCAAUGGUCAUACACUGCUCUUUUGGAUUCACCACGGUAUUGCUUGGGAAUUGGCCCGACUGAUCUAGAUUGCUAAUAGCAGUGACUAUUUGAGCCAUCUGAGUCUCAAACACCUUCAUCUGAGUCCCUAAAGCAGCAGUGGUAGACUCAAGCUUCUCCAUCCUCUCAUCUGACUUGGAGAUAAAUUUCAUCAGCAGCUCUUCCAAAUUAGGCUUCUUCUCCUCAUUGAUGACUCCAUUGGUGACAGAGAAGCCUGGUGGAGCCUGAAGCGCGUUAUUCGGAUUCCCAUAAGCCAAAUUGGGAUGUGGACGCCCUCCAUGAUAAAACUGCUGUCCACUAUUGUAUCCACCAUGUUGCCCAUGCUGAAAGUUCCCAUAGUUUCUGCCAUUGAUGUAGUUGGCGUCUUCUACACCUGUUGGGAUCUCUACAGCCGGCUCAGGAUUUCCAACAGUCAUAGCAUUGAUCUUCGAGUUCAUCUCUACCAGUUGAGUCAAAAUCAACGCCAUAGGGUCCGAACUGGAUGUAGCAGCAACUUUCUUCAAGUGAACUCUCUCGGAUGGCCAUUGAUAGCUCGUCGUCCCCAUGCUAUCAAAAAUCUCCAUAGCUGCUCAUGCACUACCUGGGAAAACUCCAGAACCAAAAAAUAAGAACCAAAAGAAAAAUAGAGAAAAAUAAAAUAAAAAAAUCCAGAUUAGUCUCAAACAAUCUACAGAUAGUACUGAUAAAAAUCAGUCCCCGGCAACGGCGCCAAAAACUUGUUCGCUAUUUUAUUUAACACGCCGCAAGUGUACGGGUGCAAUUGUGUACAGUAGCAAGCAAGGUCGUAUUCCACAGAGACUGAAUUUACCAAUUCCUAUCCUAAAUUAUUCUACUCUAUCUGGACAAACGAAAUUAAGAGUUUUUGUUUUUAAACUAAAUAAAUAAACAGCAGGAAAGAAAACAAAUCAAGCUGCGAAAUAGAGAAACAGAUAAGACAAGAUUUCCCAAGGCAAAGGUUUCAACAGAUUCUCCUAACUAACAUGUUCAAUUCAAUUAAUAAGACGAUUCCUAAGGCAAUCUCAAAACUAGUCCAUACCCACUCCCGUGGCAUACAAACCGUUGAUUACAUGCAAGGCUACCGUCCCCGGAUCGCACUUCUAACAUGCAACUCCUAAAAGCUCAUAGGAUUAACGCCCUCACAAAUAUCAAUUCCCUUUAGAAUUAAAUAUAUGUGUUCUAUGUUCUUAGUUCAGGUAAUAAUUAUCAUCUCCCGAUCUCAAAUUAAAACCUAUGAUUAUGCUAAAUUGGUGGCCAAUCAAUAAAGCAAACAAUUAUAACAAGAACAUAAAAAGGAAUAACAAUCUCAAUUAAUUGAAUCAAACAGUCAGAAAUUCAAAUCAUGUCUACUCCCUAAACCCUGGGAAAAAAAGGAUUCUAGCCACACAUAGACAUAUGAACUAGAAUACAAUUCUCAAUAAAAUAAAUAAACAUCCACAAGAAAAACCGUAGUAGAAUUGAGAAUCUUCAGUUCUUGCUCUCGCUCCGUUCUCCGUCUCUCUCGGCUCUCAGGAAAAGUAAAAUAUGAUAAAAGAAGAUAAAAGGUUCGCAGAGAAUAAGUUCUUGGGGAGUAUUUAUAUGCCCUAGGUCUUGUAGCUCUCAAAAAUACCCAAAAUCGCUAAAACAAAAUGAAUUUUGGGCGGAAAUACGGCGACUCGCGCGGCCACGUUGGGCGGCCGCAUGGCUGGCCCGCGUGACGAAAUAGAACUCCUGACAGCUUUGCGCAGAGAUUUUGUUUUGGCUCGUUCCCCCUCGUCCAAACUCCGAUUUAUGAUCCGUUUGCGCUCACAAACUCCUAUCGAGACGAACUACAACUUGUAUUUCAGCCGAUUCUUCCAAAUUCUGCUUCAUUAUUUCUGAAACUUCGUUCAAACACAAGCAAGUAACAAGUUCUUGACCAUAAACGAAUAUAAGCUCAAAUAGACCAUCAAACACACAAAAUCCUCACAACUAAGCAUCAAAAAUGACACACCAAGAGGUAAAAAUGCAUGUUUAUCAGAGCCGCGAUUUCCGCUGGGGUGGAGAUAACUUGUAGAGCGCAUCACAGUUGGACUUGCCUUCUUUUGCACGAUUCUAUUCCUUUUAGAGUCCGGUUUUGCAUGGCAACUUUCAUGGUGAUCCAUAGGGAUUCGAAGUCUAUAAAUAGGGCCAUACUUUUCAUUGUAACAAUAAUCCUUGCCCUAAUCUUUAGUUCCGCCAAGUUAGCUAAAGCUUAGGAUUUUAUUGUUUUCAUAGUUCUAGUUUCGAUUUCUGUUCUUAGUUAGUUUAGUAUAAUUCUUUUAAUUCAUGUUUAGAGUAGUUCCCGUUUAGAGUUGUAAUUAUGUGACAGAUUACUUCUCGAGACGAUUUACGGUAUUUCUUUAAUCAAGUUUAUUUAUUUGCUUUUACUUAUGCUUUCUUUAAAUUCUGCAAAUUUACUUAUGCGUUUUUAUGAUGUUUUCUUUAAAUUAUGCAAUUUAGUUUCUGCCUAGUUAGAUUAGAUUAGAAGUUUUAAUUAAAUUUAUUUAAAUUCAAUUUAUCUAGUUAAUUCUUUACUUUAAGUUCUUUAAAUUCUUGCCUAGAGGUUUAAUAGUUUUACGCCUAGAUAAUUUUAAGAUUAAGUUUUAGUUAAGUUUAAAUUACAAGAAUUAGUUAAUAAUUCCUUUUUGCCUAAAGUUUAAUUCACGUUAAUCUACUUUCCAUGUUUUAGUUUAAUAAUCCUUAGUUUACGGUUUUCUUGUGACAUAAUUAAAAGCCCUUAAAGAUCUUCCUUGAGAGACGACAUUGGGUUAACUUACCACAACUAGAGUGUCCUUGUUCUAUUGCAAGUCAAUCUAGAGGUGUUCUAGGUUGAGUCAGGUACUUGUGCUACUGGGGUUGUCUCUGCGGUGGCAGAGAGGGUGGUGGCAGGGCCGGAGAUGGCGGUGGAAGAGUGGUGGUUCUUGGAGGAAAGGUGGGUGGGAGAGAGAGGGAAGGGGUACUUGUGUUGCUGGGAUUGUCUCAGCGGUGGCAGAGAGGAUGGCGGCGGUGUCGGAGAUGGCGGUGGAAGAAUGGUUGCAGCUGGGCGGCAGAUUAGAAUGGAUGGCGGUGGAAUUAAUUGUCUUCUGUCCACUUUUGUAAA